Molecule: transfer RNA, 74 nt
Filed under: Varanus togianus
Lineage: Eukaryota; Metazoa; Chordata; Lepidosauria; Squamata; Varanidae
Description: tRNA-Tyr
Rfam family: tRNA (bases 11-74)
About the family: Transfer RNA (tRNA) molecules are approximately 80 nucleotides in length. Their secondary structure includes four short double-helical elements and three loops (D, anti-codon, and T loops).
Source: RNAcentral
GCGGGUCAUAGGUAAGGUGGCUGAGUAGGCGGUAGGCUGUAAAUCUACUUACGAGGGUCCGACCUCCCUUAUCA